Oreochromis aureus is the source of this 533-nucleotide long non-coding RNA. NCBI's taxonomy places the organism in Eukaryota, Metazoa, Chordata, Actinopteri, Cichliformes, Cichlidae. The record is from Ensembl.
CGCUGAAGACUCGGAGGCUGGACCAGGCGGCGCUGAAGACUCGGAGGCUGGACCAGGCGACGCUGAAGACUCGGAGGCUGGACCAGGCGGCGCUGAAGACUCGGAGGCUGGACCAGGCGGCGCUGAAGACUCGGAGGCUGGACCAGGCGGCGCUGAAGACUCGGAGGCUGGACCAGGCGGCGCUGAAGACUCGGAGGCUGGACCAGGCGGCGCUGAAGACUCGGAGGCUGGACCAGGCGACGCUGAAGACUCGGAGGCUGGACCAGGCGACGCUGAAGACUCGGAGGCUGGACCAGGCGACGCUGAAGACUCGGAGGCUGGACCAGGCGACGCUGAAGACUCGGAGGCUGGACCAGGCGGCGCUGAAGACUCGGAGGGUGCUGCAGGCGUGGCAGAUGAGGCCGCAGGUGACGGCGAGGAAGCCGGAGACGAUGAGGCCGCAGGUGACGGCGAGGAAGCCGGAGACGAUGAGGCCGCAGGUGACGGCGAGGAAGCCGGAGACGAAGAGGCCGCAGGUGACGGCGAGGAAGCCG